AGUCUCGAUAAGUUACUUGAACUGCAAAUUCAAGGAAGCAGCUUCAGACGCUGCCGGGGCUU
This 62-nucleotide transfer RNA is filed under the name Tolypeutes tricinctus. RNAcentral's name for it is "tRNA-Cys". The record is from RNAcentral. Lineage: Eukaryota; Metazoa; Chordata; Mammalia; Cingulata; Chlamyphoridae.